GGUUAAGUCAGGCAACGAGCGAGACCCGCGUCCUCUGUUGCAACUAGCUUUGUGCUGGGCACACUGAGGAGACCGCCACUGAUAAAGUGGAGGAAGGAGCGGGCCACGGCAGGUCAGUAUGCCCCGAAUCUCCCGGGCCACACGCGAGCUGCAAUGGCAGAUACAAUAGGUUCCGACCUCGAAAGGGGAAGGCAAUCUCGAAAGCCUGCCGUAGUUGGGAUCGAGGGCUGAAACCCGCCCUCGUGAACAUGGAAUCCCUAGUAAUCGCGUGUCAUUAGCGCGCGGUGAAUACGUCCCUGCUCCUUG
RNAcentral lists this ribosomal RNA (306 nucleotides) under uncultured archaeon. RNAcentral describes it as "bacterial SSU rRNA". It matches the Rfam family "Archaeal small subunit ribosomal RNA", at positions 1027 to 1339 of the family's 1478-position model. The record is from RNAcentral.